RNAcentral lists this ribosomal RNA (508 nucleotides) under uncultured bacterium. RNAcentral describes it as "partial 16S ribosomal RNA". It matches the Rfam family "Bacterial small subunit ribosomal RNA", at positions 28 to 523 of the family's 1533-position model. The record is from RNAcentral.
GAUGAACGCUAGCUACAGGCUUAACACAUGCAAGUCGAGGGGAAACGAUAUUGGAAGCUUGCUUCCGAUAGGCGUCGACCGGCGCACGGGUGAGUAACGCGUAUCCAACCUGCCCAUCACUUGGGGAUAACCUUGCGAAAGUAAGACUAAUACCCAAUGACGUCCAUAGAAGACAUCUGAAAGGGAUUAAAGAUUUAUCGGUGAUGGAUGGGGAUGCGUCUGAUUAGCUUGUUGGCGGGGUAACGGCCCACCAAGGCGACGAUCAGUAGGGGUUCUGAGAGGAAGGUCCCCCACAUUGGAACUGAGACACGGUCCAAACUCCUACGGGAGGCAGCAGUGAGGAAUAUUGGUCAAUGGGCGAGAGCCUGAACCAGCCAAGUAGCGUGCAGGAUGACGGCCCUAUGGGUUGUAAACUGCUUUCAUAAGGGAUUAAAGUGAGCCUCGUGAGGCUUUUUGCAUGUACCUUAUGAAUAAGGACCGGCUAAUUCCGUGCCAGCCGCCGCAGUAA